ACAGGAGAACCUUAGUGAUGGGCUCAUUUUUGUAGAUGGGGAAAAGACCCGGCAGGCUGAGGGCCUGAGGACACAAAGCACAUCAGUGGCAGAGCGAGCCCCAGAGCUGAGGUUAUCUUUGCCUCAGCCCAAUUCUCUAAUAAACCCAUAUCCAUGUGUGGCAAAGUGCCAUCACUCUCUUGUCACAUCGAGCACAUCUCAGCUGGCCAUUCUUGGAUGAAGCAUUCAGCUAAGGGACCUCUAGCUAGAGGGGUGGAGGCAGAUCAAGAUUUGUGUCUUCAAAGCAGAUUUGUUUCAGAGAAGAGCUUAUCCCAAAAAGCCUGUCGCCGAUCCCCCCACCCCACCCCGCUCCAGAUGCCCUAUUCUCCUCCUGGAGAUCCCCAACUUGCAUGUGGCUUUCAGGCAGAGAGGAUGGUAGAAUACUAUAAAACUACAGAAAUCCUUCCCAUCCAUUAAUGCAAUCAGAGGGAAAGUCAAGAAAUGAGAUAUUAGAAGCAAGGUCCUGCCUUCAGAGAAAGAUGCAAUGUUUUUCUCAUAUGACAGAGGACACCUGCUUGCACUUAUACCAGCGUCAGUCAGAAGUAAUUCACCUGCAAUGAACAGAGCGGCAUAAGUGCUGAACCCACCGAAAACAGGAUCAGGCCCACAGGCUCUUUAAAGGACAAAGGCAAUAAUAUAUUCUGAGACUCGGCUCCCAUUUCACAACAGCCGGAUGGAAAGAAAGCGAAGCCUCCAAGUCUGCCACACUUCUCAGAGCUUCAGAGACACUAAAGAGAGUGUGAGAGUACCAAGUAUAGAGAAAGGUCAACCUUCCACCCCUCAAGAAACUCUAGCUACACUGGCACAGGAGUGACUGACAGGAAUGCUGCAGGCUCAGGUGUUUACAUGGGAUGAUUACGAGACAUCAGUAGGACAAGACUAUGAAAGCAGUUAAGAAAAUCCUAGAAUGCAUCAAGAAAGGCAUUUCCAGCAAGUAGUAAAAUACAAGUUACUUUGCACUAGGCAUCGAAAAUCUUUAAAUGCCAAGCUUGCAACAAUUUUUUUUGUCAUUUUUACCUUCUAAUUCUCCUCUCAAGUUGGAAAAAAACCUGAAGUUUCUUAAAGUGAAGAAUAACUAUUUUCUGCCACCACCAGUUGUGUUUAAGGCAGCUACGAUUAAUUAGAAGCAGCCUAGAUAUGUCACAGAGGACAGCCAAUCUUCUCCAGUUUGUCCACUACGUCUCUGACAGUAUUUCUUGAUUUCACUAUUGUUGAAUGUUAUUUUCUAUUUUUUCUAUUUUUUUCCUCCCUCAAUAUUCUUCCUAAUGGUUUCUAAAAAAAUGGUGUUAUCCAGGAUUGAAUUAAAAGUGUACAAACAGAGAAGACCCUCAAUGGAAGGCAGACCAUCACCAAGCAAUAAAGUCCAACAAUUAAAGCAUAAAAAGCCUGAGAAAGCUUAACGUGGAUAUGGAUUUCAAUCUAUCUCAGCAGCUGAUGUAUAAAUAAAUAAAAAGUGGUCCGAGUUAAAAAAUACAGAAGAGUGUCAAAAUAAAAAUAAGCAAAGUUAUUUCUAUUAAUAUUAACAUGCAGAACCACUGGCUUCCUAUGGAUUUAAAUUUAAGAGUAGGUUGACUUUUUAGCACUUGAGAGGAGUAAACUAGACUGAAGUUUUCCUUGUGGCGAGGUAACUUCUGCAAGUUCUCUCCCUUGUGUUGCUUCCGGCAGGUGAAACCUUCAUUUGAGGCACAUCUCUCCCUUGUUCUCUACCUGGCUGUCUGCUUUCACAAAACCUGAAGGCUUUUAACUGUAAGACCUCUGUUCCUCUUGGUUACACCUGCUGCAGGGUCAAUGAACACUGAGGAGCAAAAGCACAUACAGCCUGACUUUGUGAACUCACUCUCCACAGGAAACAAGGAAAAUUGCAUGGACUGACUGGAAAAUUGUUUUUCUCCUGCAGAUAUGUUUACUUUUUAAAUAAACAAUUAUUUUAUUUCUU
This is a long non-coding RNA of Aquila chrysaetos chrysaetos, 1975 nucleotides long. RefSeq lists it as uncharacterized. NCBI's taxonomy places the organism in Eukaryota, Metazoa, Chordata, Aves, Accipitriformes, Accipitridae. The record is from RefSeq and is a predicted model, not a curated record. The transcript is spliced from 4 exons.